This 393-nucleotide ribosomal RNA is filed under the name Triticum aestivum (bread wheat). Its description in RNAcentral is "partial small subunit ribosomal RNA". The record is from RNAcentral. Lineage: Eukaryota; Viridiplantae; Streptophyta; Magnoliopsida; Poales; Poaceae.
AUGGGUAGAAGUAAGGUCAAUCCUAUUUGGUGUAAGAUCUGGAAAUUAGCUUGUCCGGCGAAGGUUAAAUUUUUUAUUUGGCGGACGCUCCAUGGGACUCUACCGUGUCGCGUUACACUGGCCAACAGACAUAUAAAAACUCAGCCAAUAUGCCCAGCAUGUUUGGAUGGGCAAGAGGGCUCGAAACAUGUAUUAUUUCUGUGCCAGAAGGAAAAAGAAGUGUGGGAAUAUUUGGGGCUGUAUGAAGUGGUAAAAGCCUGCGUCAUUGACCGUGCGGGAGAGGCAGUCCUUGAAUUCUUACUCCUUAUGCCUGAUCAUGAAUUACCUAUCUUGGGCUCCCGGAAUGCAGGGGAACUAAUCGCUAUAGCUGCUUGGUAUUUAUGGUGGAAUAGA